Molecule: ribosomal RNA, 525 nt
Filed under: Cryptostemma sp. WCW-2003
Lineage: Eukaryota; Metazoa; Arthropoda; Insecta; Hemiptera; Dipsocoridae
Description: partial 16S ribosomal RNA
Rfam family: Archaeal large subunit ribosomal RNA (bases 388-525)
Source: RNAcentral
AAAAACAUGUCCUUUUGAUUAUUUAUUUAAGGUCUAUCCUGCUCUAUGAAGAAUUAAAUGGCCGCAGUAUUUUAACUGUGCGAAGGUAGCAUAAUCAUUUGUCUUUUAAUUGAAGACUUGUAUGAAUGGUUGGUUGAGAAAUUAUUUUUAUUUAAUUAAAUAGAAGAAUUUAAUUUUUGAGUCAAAAAGCUUAAAUUAAAUUAUAAGACGAGAAGACCCUAUAAAACUUUAUUUAUAUAUAAAUAUAUCUUUUUAUAAUAAAAAGAUAUAUUUAUAUAUAAAUUUUAUUGGGGUGAUAGUAAAAAUAUUUAAACUUUUAUUUUUUUUUUCAUUUAUAAAUGUUUUUUUGAUCCAUUUUUAUUGAUUAUAAGAUUAAGUUACUUUAGGGAUAACAGCGUAAUUUGUUUGGGGAGUUCAUAUCUAUAAAUAAGUUUGCGACCUCGAUGUUGAAUUAAGAUUAGUUUUAGGGGUAGAUUUUUAUAAAACUAGGUCUGUUCGACCUUUAAAUUCUUACAUGAUCUGAGU